UGGAUGAAGAUGGAGCAGUGAAGUUCGACACUAGCAUGUAUCACUUUGCUGAACAUGUACCUCCAGCGAGGCAGAGCAAGAGCUUGACUGAAGCUCAUAAGAAUAACAGUAAAUUGCAGAAGUGGUGCAAGAAGCAGGACAAGCUAAUCGAGGAGAAUUAAUGCACCUGCGCACAGGCCUGAGCUUAGCGAGCAGAGAGUCCC
Arabidopsis thaliana x Arabidopsis arenosa is the source of this 203-nucleotide non-coding RNA. Lineage: Eukaryota; Viridiplantae; Streptophyta; Magnoliopsida; Brassicales; Brassicaceae. The record is from the annotation of a GenBank genome assembly.